AAUCUACUCAAAGAGAGAAAACAAUCAGGGGCCUGAAAUCAUUAUAAGAACCCAACUUCAUUAUACCUGUGAAGCUACUUACCCUUUGACUGAGUUCUUCUCGUUGACGUCUCUGUCAAAAAAAGAAAAAUGGGAAACCUUCUAAAGGUUCUGCAUAUGGAAAAUCUGGUUGUUCUAACAGUUAACUGUGAAAUCUCUCAUGUAAGAGAAGCAAUUGGUUUGAGCAGUCAAAAUAAACGUUGCCUUAUGCAACGAAAGGAAUGCAACUUACUUAUCAAAUAGAACUUUCACUUUCAGGCUGUAGUUCAAUUCCUGCAAUUUCACCAGCAAUCUGGAAGGGGAAAAGAAAACAAGGAAUGACUACCACUGCAAAAGAUCGCUGCACUAGAGAGGUCUGUGCGUGGCCUUCUUUGCUUGCUUCACUACUGUAUUAGCAAGUCUUGGGCAAGUUGAGACAUUUCCUUCCGCUUCAUUGCACGUAAGAAAUCUGGACUAAUACAGUCCUUUCUUGUUGACCUUCUCUUGACUGAAGAAUAAUACCCAUUUUCUCUAACUGGAGACCAGCAGUUAAGGUAUAUGAACAGGUCUUUGGACAGCUGAGCUCUAGUCCCCAUACAGAGGGCAUGUAGUGAAUCUAAUCCUCUGCUCUGUGUCUGCUAGUCUUGAGUCUUCUGCAGCACAACCUGCUGCCCACUCUGUUUUAAGAAUGAGACAGUGAAGCUACAUGUAGCACAUUCCAGCUACAGUAACUUGAGUCAUAGAGGCGGGACACAGGUAGGGCUGCUCUCCCUGUACCGGAGACAAAAAAGAUGCAGCCAGAGCCAAAAGGAGGGACAAUCUAGUGUGUAUUUAUCUUGGACAUAGCUUGGUGUGGGUGGUUUCCUGCAUCCGUUUACUUGAGCUAGUUUGCAGGGUUGAAGUUGAAAGCAAGAAAUGGAUUGCUGGACCAGGAGUUUGAUUCUGUAAUUGAAAUACGUUGUAGCAAAGCUCCCCCCCCCCAACUUGAAUGAUGGCAGACCACAAACCCUUCCCGUGAGCCUAAACCUCUGGAAAAACAAAAAAGGAAGGAAUCUUCACAACAGUUGUUUAAUGUUUGUGACAAACUCAGGACAAUGUCAGACAAUGCCAGUUAGAGCGUGUGAAACGCAAACAGAAAGGAGGACUCCAGACCCACUCAUUCAGACAGUCGCAAGAAAGCUUUUCUAGCCUCUUACCUCUGGAUAAGCUGCUUGAAAAGACUGUGUGUUCGGUCCUGCAAAACUUGUUUGUUUUUUGUGAUAGGGUCAUGUUCAUAAGUCAGCUUCUGCUCCAGUUCCUCCAGCUUUUUGAGCUGCUGACGGACUUGCUGCAGGCUUUCAGCAAUGAUGGUGAACCUACAAUGACACAGUCCUGUUAUUUCCAGCACGUUUUCAGUGUAACGAUGCUGAGACAGUAGCAGCGUAACUGUUCCUAAGCAUGAAUGAAGACAGAACAAUUACUCAGUUUCACAUUAUGCAAGACUCUGUCUGACCAGGAUCUGCCUGCCAGCAAGCACGUACAGAAAACAGCAGCACUGAAGGCUGGAUCGCAUCUCCCUUAAAUAUUAGAUUCAACCACUUGGGCUCUGGGGAGGAAAGCGUGAAGCACAAGAACAAGAUAAGCUGCCAUAUAGGGUAAUGCAUUAUGCAGUUGAUUUCCUACAGCGUGUUAAAGGAAACCUUCAGAUCUCAGUACUGCAAGGUUUCAUUUCAGAAGCUCAUAGCAUGACUUCUCUCAGGGAGAGUUGCAGUGAUUUCAAAGACAGGGUUUUUGUUGUACUGUGUCAUUAUUAGAAACAUAUUAUUUUGCCAAUGCAGGCAACUUAGAAAGUGGCAAAGGUUCCCAACGUAACUUGAAAUGGGACUGUGAUGGCAGUCUGAGUAUUGACUAACACUGGAGUCUCUAUUUUGUUCUUAUGGUGCUUUUAAGUUUGCUUGCUUUGGGAAAUAAGAACUUUUACAAUAAAUCAGAGGGUAGGGUAUGGUGUUUUAUGUAGCACCAACAAUAUGUGGAAGAAGAUUUAUUUCCUUUUUUAAAAUUAUUAUUAAUAGAAACAUCUGGGAUGCUGAAAAGGAAGUUUUGGGUGCUUUGUGUCAUAAGCCAAUACAGAAACUGCCAGCUGCACUGCAGCUAUGAGGAAAGUAUCUGGAAAUGGCUUUGCCAGAGUUGCAUAUCUAAGGGAGCUAUUUUGGACGCAGCUGCAUUAAGAUAACUGAUGAAAGCCUGUGCUCUAAUGCUCUUAGUUCUCUCUAUAACACUGUCAAAAAUGUGCUGCAAAGUGAAGAAUUUCUGUCUCAGAACAUAACAGGCUCAGUCAGGUAUCAUUUAAUUUCAUUAGCAGGUUGGAUCUGGCUCUGUAGUUUACAUGGCUUUUCUAACUGUGGAAUUUUUUAUUGCAACACAGUUCUUGGAAGGGAAAAUCCAAACAGAUGCACUGCCAAAAUAAUGAUGAGGAGAAGAAUACGCUCUGCCUAUGGCUCAGCAGUUCAGUUUAAAACAUAAACGUAAAAUUGAGUGUAGCUGGGAAGGAAGAGUAGUAUCACUUUCCAAGGCAGUCCAGAGACCCACUAGUGCUCAGCUGCUCAAUAAACAGUAAAUCAAGAGUAAAAUGGAAAAGGAAGGAAGAAUCAAGAUCACUUUCUGGCCCUUUCCCAUCUGAAUAGCUCACGCUACUCAAACCCGCUGGUAUCCCAAGUAAUAGGAAAGGGCAGACACGACUGCAGUGGACAUUUCAAAACUA
Molecule: non-coding RNA, 2758 nt
Organism: Coturnix japonica (Japanese quail)
Lineage: Eukaryota; Metazoa; Chordata; Aves; Galliformes; Phasianidae
Source: RefSeq, a predicted model, not a curated record